This 81-nucleotide transfer RNA is filed under the name Colletotrichum navitas. RNAcentral describes it as "tRNA-Gly". It matches the Rfam family "tRNA". From Rfam's summary of the family: Transfer RNA (tRNA) molecules are approximately 80 nucleotides in length. Their secondary structure includes four short double-helical elements and three loops (D, anti-codon, and T loops). Lineage: Eukaryota; Fungi; Ascomycota; Sordariomycetes; Glomerellales; Glomerellaceae. The record is from RNAcentral.
GCGCCGAUGGUUUAGUGGUAAAAUUCUCAGUUGCCAUCCAGCAGCGUCGGGGAGCCGGGGGUUCGAUUCCCCCUCGGCGCA